Vicia faba (fava bean) is the source of this 291-nucleotide non-coding RNA. NCBI's taxonomy places the organism in Eukaryota, Viridiplantae, Streptophyta, Magnoliopsida, Fabales, Fabaceae. The record is from the annotation of a GenBank genome assembly.
AUGCAGGGUAGAAGUUGCUUUAACAGUGCUGGGAUGUGCCAUGUCCAGCAGGAAAUAAUUGUGCUUUUUGGUUAUUUAAGGAUAGGGACAACUUUUUCUAUUCUGCCGAAUCAUAAUUGGAUUUUGAUGUAUUGGAUGGAGAUGGAAGGGAACAAGUGUGGGAGCACAUAUAUAUCAAUCAUUAAGCUGCAACCUUAUUCAACUUUCUCGAAUAUAAGAGGAUUAAUCUGUCACCCUCACACUUCUUAUACCCGACACUCACAUUUUUCUAAAUUUUCAAAUUGUCAAUGA